RNAcentral lists this ribosomal RNA (249 nucleotides) under uncultured bacterium. RNAcentral describes it as "partial 16S ribosomal RNA". It matches the Rfam family "Bacterial small subunit ribosomal RNA", at positions 524 to 771 of the family's 1533-position model. The record is from RNAcentral.
UACGAGGGUCCAAGCGUUUAUCCGGAAUCACUGGGCGUAAAGCGUGCGUAGGUGGAUUGUUAAGUGCGGUGCGAAAUCCUGUGGCUCAACCAUAUGGACUGUAUCGCAUACUGGCAACCUAGAGGACAUGAGAGGCAAGUGGAAUUACUGGUGUAGCAGUGAAAUGCGUAGAGAUCAGUAGGAACACCAAUGGCGAAGGCAGCUUGCUGGCAUGUAUCUGACGCUAAGGCACGAAAGCGUGGGGAGCAA